UCCCCUCGAGAGUCCAGAGCACGUACGUCUCCCCCUGCCCCUUCCGUGAGGAUUUUUUAUCCCCAAACACCCAAUCGCCGGUGAAAAAAACCAAAAAAAACCACAAGCCCUCCUCCCUCAAUCCCUAGCGCACCGCCGCUCGUCUCCCGUUCUCCACCAGCAGCGCCGCCGCACCCCAAUCCCCAACUCUUUCUUUCUUUCUCUCGCGCAUGGGGUUCCUAGAUCGGGUGUCGCCACCGCCCAAUUCUGACUCUUCCCCUCUGAUCAGGAUUUUUCUCAAUCGAGUCGCCGCCACGGAUGCACAUCUACCUGUGGAGGACUUCUCCGCAACAAUGGCGAGCGACCGUGGAGGCAAUGCAUGACCAAUCUGCGGCAGGAGGAAUGACCAGGCAUGGGCGAAGGCCGGCCCCGUGCUACUCCAUCGAUGGCUACUCGGAUCUGAGCUCGUCAAGGGACACGGCCCUGCCAAGGGGGAAGCCACAGCAGCCGUGGCGGCAACAGCUAUGUUGCUACGUACGUCGAGGAGGAGGAGCACUGGGACUCUGCAGGCAGCCCGUGGUUCUCAAGCCAGGUGGCGUGGCGGAACAAUGGGUGGGUAUGCAUCUCAGUACUCACAUACUGGUCCAGUCCGGGGAACAAUGCGAUUCCUAAGGCUCGUAAGGCAGCCAAGCCAGUCGGAACACUGCUCCACUCAUGUCUCUGCUGGAGGCAAAGUCAAAUCUUCUGCUGAAGUGGUUCUAGAACAGACCCAGCAACGCAUGGGCGUAAAGGUUUCCAACUAUUUUGCUAAAGAUACUACUUGAUUCAGCUCUUUUGGACAUGAAGUAGUUGAACUGGGAAUUCGAUCUGGUUCAUGCAACUAUUUUUCUCGAGUGCAGUACGUUCCAAUGGCUUAUCCAGACGACCCAGAAGGGUUAAGAUCUACUUAUGUUGCAGUACCUGACAGAAACUAAUUAUGGGGCCUCCCUAUUUAUGUCGCAAGCCGGUCUACUUUAUGGUCACUCCGAUCUCCAGUUUUUUAACUCAGUUUUCAUUUAAAAUUAAUUGAUUCGAUGGAUUUUGGUCACGGUUAUGCACAUACCAGUGCUCGCUGCUUCUAGUCUAUUAUGAUUUAUGUGGCAUGCAUCUCACUUCAGGCAAGGCAUCUGUGAAAGACACCAACAGGGUAGAAUACUUGAAUGUGGAGCACACAGGAUGCAUUAAGGCUAGUCGUUCAAACAAAUUCCACCAAGAAUUUUCAUGAAACCUUGAGAGAUUAAUCCCUCUUUGAUAUUAUCUUCAGUUCGUACUUGGCCAUAAUGGGAUACCAGGAAAUAUGCUUCUCAUCAGUCGGAAUAGUUAUUGUCGACAUGAUAAUAUUAGGUGUUGUGCAUAUUGCCAGUUUCUAUUGUUUCUAAGAGCUGAAAGAAGCCAGCCAUUCUAAAAUGUCUAACUGCACUUCUAGCAAAGAGGCAACACUUGAUAGUGUGCCGAUAUCUGUAGGUAAGAUUGUAGGAUGUGUUCUCGCUUUUUUACCUUGUCGGGCUUUACGUUUUUGCUCUACAUUUGUUAAUUUAGCAAUCUGUUCUAUAGCAUUCUACUUAUUUUUUAUUCA
This is a long non-coding RNA of Triticum aestivum (bread wheat), 1594 nucleotides long. RefSeq lists it as uncharacterized. The transcript is spliced from 3 exons. Lineage: Eukaryota; Viridiplantae; Streptophyta; Magnoliopsida; Poales; Poaceae. The record is from RefSeq and is a predicted model, not a curated record.